AUUAAAUCAAGACGACAUCGACUCUAAUCAAGCCGUUUUUUGGUUAAUUUGUUUAUAAGAUAAAAUACAAAACACAUCCGUUUUCUCGUUUCUCUUGAUAUGACGAGAGGCGGAAUUUGAUCAAAGCAGCGUGUUAAAAACGAAUAAACGAGCUGAAAACGGUGUUUUUAAAACUAGACGCGGAAUUGGAUUUAAAGGAAAAAAACGGAAAACGAGAAAACGAGUCGUUUUGACGGACCGUGACAAACGGCAAAUAAUCAAAGCAGCGUGUUAAAAAUUUCACUCACGUAACUGGUUCUGUUAUUUAUUACAAUGCUUUUAAACUGUUUUACAGGAAGGACAUUCACUCUGUGCUGCUUCGGCUUCUAACGGUCAGCUCUUGUCGCUUUACUAACAUUAUUCUGAUGUGUUAAAACUUUGGUUAAACAUUUUAUACAUGACAUAAAACAAGGUUCAACAGAACGUUACACCAACAGCCUGUUAGUGAACGUCUGCUCUGUUGUCUAAUCAUUUACAUCAGUGUAAAUGAUACAGUAUGUACAAAUAUAAAAUAUUUAUCAUGUUACGAUAAAAACAUAAGAAUACACUUAUGAUCUGAUGGUUACAUAUAGGAUAUAAACCACGUUUAUAUGUAAUAGUGAACACUAAUAGGACGUUAGUGUAUUUACGAAAACUUGUAAAUUUUGGUAAAACACAUUUAAUCUACAUUGUAGUUUUACAGUAAACCUUAUCAACAUGUAAAUGCAACAGAAUAUUUUUCCAUCCAUGUCCCUGCAGCAACGAGUGGUAACACAUGUGGUUGAGGUAUGUGCUCAGCAGGUUCAUGUCUGAGCUGCUGCUGUCGUCAUCAACAGUUUAUGGGUAAAGUUUACUGAACCUUUCAACAAGGAGCUGACCAGCUCAUAAAAGCUGCUUCUGCACCUACAACUGGAUUUAUUCUGAGUAAAGUCUAUGUGUUCUUCAAAUAAAAAAAAGGAUCAUUCUGUGAUUUUUGUCUGACACAUAAUCAAUGAUCAUGUGAUUUCUGACCAUUACAUAUUAAUCUAUUACCUUUUAUUGGAUUAGUGUCAGUUUGAAAUAAAGAUUCAUAUUUUUUUUAAUUUGCUCCAUCUCCUCAUCCCCAGACGUUAGGUUGUAUCUGAUAAUGGAUUAUCACAGCAACUCCAUGGAGUACAAUGAUGAUCAUUACCAAAGAUCCUAUGAGUUUGACCAUAGAAAGGUUGAUUUGGUCAUAAAAUGGUUGAUGUGGGCAAUCUGUAUCAUCAGCCUCCCGUUGAACGGAGCGGUCAUCUUCGCUACGUUUUCUCAGGUGCAGAGGGGCGUGACUCGGAUCUACGUCAUGAACCUUCUGGUCUCUGACCUCCUGCAGCUCUGCUCUACGGCGGCUCCAUCCACAAGCGAUUAUGGGGCUUUCAUCUCCUACGAAUUCUGCUAUUUAGGUCUGAUGGCCAGCGUUGGCUUCAGGACGUUCCUCGCUUUGGAAAGGUGUUCAGUGGUCUUGUGCCCACGAGGCUCCUGCUUCAGACAGUCUAUUAAAGUCUGUGCAGUGGUUUCCCUCUUUCUGUGGUUGGUUCCUCUUUGCAUCUUCCUCUUUGAUGUGUUUAGACAAGAUACAAUUGUCCAUCUCAUCUACCUCUUCCUUCCAUGUCCCUUCCUCAUCUCCACUCUUGUUAUAUCCCUUAGAUCUCUGUGUGUAAACAGCAGCGUUAAUCUCAGUCUAAAGCUCAGAGUCGUGGGCAGUGUGGUUCUGCUGGUGCUUGUUCACAUGUUGCUUAUUAUUCCCUCUCUGAUUGUAUGGCUGUCAGGAGGUACAGGAAGCUAUAUACUGGAUCAUGUGCCAGAUGUUAUUCUCAAGCUGGUUCCACUUGCAGACCUGUUUCUGUAUUUCUUUCUGACUAAAAGAGACACAGACAAUAACUUAGGUAACAGUGUGAACAGGUCAGUGAUGAACGAUGAGAGCAGCCACAUCAACAGCUCUGUGUAGUCAAAGAAGAAACCAGAGUUUCAGUAAGAGCAGGUGAAGUAAUACAUAUUAUACUGCAGUAAUUGUUACUAUAAUAAACAUUCUCCAGUUAAUAAUCAUUGGGUACAUUUUUAUUGGCAUGUUUUUAUAUAACACAUUGCAUGUAUGUGAUUGGAAUUCAAUAAAAAAAUAAUUUCAAGAUAUGUUCAUCUUCAUUAACUCCAGCAGAACCAGAACCAGUGAACUCGUCACUUUACCACUCAUGUUUAUGGAUGAAUGUAAACAUGCCAAAAUAAAAGAACCCAUACGUUGAUCUUAUCUCAAGUCUUAUUUUGGUAGGGUGUGUGCAUGUCUCUGCUCAGGUGUGUGGUUUUGUGACAGUGAUGACAAACGCUCAUUUACAUGGACAAACACAGGCGCCUGAAGCAGCCGUCGGCACGUUGCACCUGAGGAGGAAGAGGAGGGAGGAGGAGGAGGAGGAGGAGGGCUCUCAGACAGCUUAAAGUGGACAGCUGAUGUGCAGUAAAUAUAGAAGUUAAAAUCAGUUCUAAGGUCUGUUUUUCUUACCAGCGGGGAUUUAAAAGCUGCUGAAACGAUGAGUCAUGUUAUCAGAGACCAAGCUCCAGAACCGAAGUCACAGCGCGGAGGCUCCGUUCACAGCCCGAAGCAGCUCAAGGCUAAACCGGGCAGCGAACUGGGCCUGACCCGCUGCGCCGCCUGCUACAGCCUUAGCGCCGGCUCCAGCCACCGGCACGGGGGGAACGGAGACUCCAGCUCCUCAGCUGAAGACUCGGCAUCGGACGGAGACUGUGACUCUGAAGCCGAGUCCAGCUCCAGCAGCUCCGGCUCCGGACGUGGUGCAGUGACUGCAAGUGAAAAGCCUGAAACGCAGCAGCUCUCCGGUGAAUGUGGAGAUGGUGCCGACCCAAACUGUGGAGGUGAAAGGCCCCAGAGUCAGGAUGAUGAGACCAGGACAGGCGCAAUGACUCAGAGGGCCCCGCUUGUAAAGUCUCGCUCCCUGCCCUCGUCCCAGGCUCCUCAGCUCACCGCGGCGCCGCUGCUGCCUCGCCCUCCGACCAUGGUGUCCACCCUGCUGCUGCAGGUGCUGCCUGAGCACCAGGACGCCUUCAUCGCCGCCCACCAGCACCCGUCUGCAGGUCAGCGUGGGAGCACAGAGCACGGCUACGGAGCAGCACAAAGGAUGAGCGGCCUGCCGCCUGCGCAACCUGUCCAGUGGCAGCAGGUGGGGUUACCGUGGCAACCGCAUCAGCAGUAUCAACAGCAGCUGCAGGUGCCACCUCAACACUUCCCUCCCUGCUCAGCUGGGGGUCAAACGCUCCCACCUCAACCUCCUCUGCUACAGCCUCUAACGCUCCUACAGGCCCUGCAUGCGCAGCCGCAGCCGCAGCCGCAGCCGCAGCCGCAGCCGCAGCUGCUCAGUCCACAGCCCUGCAUCUACUGUUACCUCAACACGUACUGGAGCCAUUACAGUAGUGGGGAGUUACUCCACUGGUAACAAACAAACUGACGAGGAAUCAGGAAAUCACGUUCCACCUUCUGACAUGUUUAUGAUGUUGAACUUUGAGGACGUUGAGAACGAUCAGCGGAGAAUCACACUGAAGACACACGUCAGUGUAUAAAGAUGGGUGUGAUGUCAUCUCUGUGUGACGUCUGUGGUGGAGAACUGAAAGCGUUGUUUCACCUUCAUGGAGCUCAAAUGGACGAUUUCCAGCUCUAUGGGAAAAAAAGCACAAGAGACUCUCUGUGUAACGUGUGCGUGGUUGGUUCCACCUACAGCUGCCACUAAGUCUCUCCAGAUGUCUGCACGGACACAAAGUGUUUCCAGUGCACACCCGCACGCACGCACGCACGCACGCACGCACGCACGCACGCACGCACGCACGCACGCAUGCACGCACGCACGCACGCACACAUUCUUGUACUUAUAUCAAAGUGAGGACCUCCAUUGACAUAAUGCCUCCAUAGCCCCUCACUCUAACCAUCACAACUAAAGGCAGACGUCUAAUCUUUGCUCUGAUCCGAAUCACAACUCAAUUCUAACCUCAGCCCUAAAAUCACAUCUUGACCCUCAAACAGGGCUUUAAAGAAGUGAGGACUGGCCAAAAUGUACUCAAGUAAGUAGUACAAGUACACACACACACACACACGCACACACACACACACACACUCACUCACACACACACACACACACACACACACACACACACACACACACACACACACACACACACACACGCCUGUCCUUGUUAAUGUCACGUAACUGGGUCAUCAGGUGUUCAUGAGGUCUGACUGUAACGCUGUCUGUUGACUGGACGUUUCCUCGUACAGUACGUGUGCACACAGCGCCCCAGGGCUUGUUGAUCUUCUGAUGUGCGUCACUCUAAGCGAUCCGUGAUGGAGCCUGUCGUGCACCGUUGUCGAAGGACUGCCUCAGGUGGAACCAGAGCGUAGAGCAUCGCGUGCCUCUUAGUGCAGCCGCUGUGGUUAAGGAAGCGCUGCAGUGACCGGGCUGCUGUCAAUUAGUGCUAAUGGAGCCGGUCCGGGGGAGACCACUCCCUCCCCCGACCCCUCCCUCCUCGUCAUACAUGCACCCACACACUCUCUCUCUUCCCUGCUUUUCUAUCUCAGUCCGUAAUAAUGGAGCCCAGCAGCCCCAAGAAGAUCCAGUUUGCCGUCCCUCCGCUGCAGGGACAGCUGGACCCGCAGGCCGCCGAACACAUCCGGCGCAGGAGACCGACUCCGGCUACGCUGCAGAUCUACAGACAACCUGGCACAGAUGUUGGAGAUCAACACAACGCCAGCGGUGACUCACAGGCGUCAGAGUCCUCUCAGAGGAAGCAGAGCACCUUCACCCCACCCCCCAUGACAGAGCUUCAGCAGGGGGCGGAGCAGCAUCUGCUGGAGGCGGGGCUCUGUGACACACAUGGUCUGAUGAGCCCAAUCACAGCACAGCUUUAUGAACUGUGGGCCAAUCACAACGGGCCGGAAGAAACCAAUGGGAACGAGGCGGGUCUGCAGAUAGCCAAUCAGGAGAGAGGAGUGGCAGAGAGCAGCAGUACAGGGGGUAAAUGCCGUUUUAGACGAACACACCAGGCACUAAAGACUUCAACUACUUAUAAGCUGGAAGAUUUAAUGAACAAAGACGAUCAAAGUUUUAAAGUAUUAUUAGUUUUAGUAAAAUCAGCUCAUUUGCAUAUUAACCAACAGCUCUAACUCGUGUCUCUUGUUUCUCCUCCUGCUGUGUCUCUGCAUGGCCUCUGCUUCUCCAUCAUCUUCCUGCUGCUUCUCCUCCCUCCUCAGAUUUGUCAUGUGACCACAAACAGGAAGCGUCCAGUCCCGACUCGGUCUCACGAUAGCCGCCGCGGCUGCUUCUCCAUCUCUGAGCUCGUUCUCUUCAUCUGAUCACUCUCGCUCACUGCUUCACACAAAUCUGUCUCUCCAUGCACACCAUGAUUUAAGUUACAUGUACUGGAUCUAAAGCUCGAUGUCGACGGUUGUUUGUUUAGAAAUGGCUGUGAAUAAAAUGACAGUGAAACA
Molecule: RNA transcript, 5521 nt
Organism: Betta splendens (Siamese fighting fish)
Lineage: Eukaryota; Metazoa; Chordata; Actinopteri; Anabantiformes; Osphronemidae
Gene: ppp1r1c
Gene name: protein phosphatase 1, regulatory (inhibitor) subunit 1C
Exons: 9
Source: RefSeq, a predicted model, not a curated record